RNAcentral lists this ribosomal RNA (496 nucleotides) under uncultured bacterium. RNAcentral's name for it is "partial 16S ribosomal RNA". It matches the Rfam family "Bacterial small subunit ribosomal RNA", at positions 28 to 506 of the family's 1533-position model. The record is from RNAcentral.
GAUGAACGCUGGCGGCGUGCCUAAUACAUGCAAGUCGAGCGAACAGGCGAGGAGCUUGCUCCUCUGACGUUAGCGGCGGACGGGUGAGUAACACGUGGAUAACCUACCUAUAAGACUGGGAUAACUUCGGGAAACCGGAGCUAAUACCGGAUAAUAUAUUGAACCGCAUGGUUCAAUAGUGAAAGACGGUUUUGCUGUCACUUAUAGAUGGAUCCGCGCCGCAUUAGCUAGUUGGUAAGGUAACGGCUUACCAAGGCAACGAUGCGUAGCCGACCUGAGAGGGUGAUCGGCCACACUGGAACUGAGACACGGUCCAGACUCCUACGGGAGGCAGCAGUAGGGAAUCUUCCGCAAUGGGCAAAAGCUUGACGGAGCAACGCCGCGUGAGUGAUGAAGGUCUUCGGAUCGUAAAACUCUGUUAUUAGGGAAGAACAAAUGUGUAAGUAACUAUGCACGUCUUGACGGUACCUAAGCAGAAAGCCACGGCUAACUACGU